This 395-nucleotide ribosomal RNA is filed under the name uncultured bacterium. Its description in RNAcentral is "partial 16S ribosomal RNA". It matches the Rfam family "Bacterial small subunit ribosomal RNA", at positions 523 to 917 of the family's 1533-position model. The record is from RNAcentral.
AUACGUAGGUGGCAAGCGUUGUCCGGAAUUAUUGGGCGUAAAGCGCAUGUAGGCGGUGCCUUAAGUCUGUCGUGAAACUGCGGGGCCUAACCCCGUAUGGCGAUGGAAACUGUGGCACUUGAGUGCAGGAGAGGAAAGGGGAACUCCCAGUGUAGCGGUGAAAUGCGUAGAUAUUGGGAAGAACACCGGUGGCGAAGGCGCCUUUCUGGACUGUGUCUGACGCUGGGAUGCGAAAGCCAGGGUAGCGAACGGGAUUAGAUACCCCGGUAGUCCUGGCCGUAAACGAUGGGUACUAGGUGUGGGAGGUAUCGACCCCUUCCGUGCCGGAGUUAACGCAAUAAGUACCCCGCCUGGGGAGUACGGCCGCAAGGCUUAAACUCAAAGGAAUUGACGGG